GCCUGGGUGGCUUAGUCGGUUGAGCGUCUGACUUUGGCUCAGGUCAUGACCUUUCGAUCUGUGAGUUCGAGCCCUGCGUCGGGCU
Non-coding RNA from Felis catus (domestic cat), 85 nucleotides. The record is from Rfam. Lineage: Eukaryota; Metazoa; Chordata; Mammalia; Carnivora; Felidae.